GAGGGUAUAACUCAGUGGUAGAGUACAUGCUUAGCGUGCAGGAGAUCCUGGGUUCAAUCCCCAGUAUCUCCA
This 72-nucleotide transfer RNA is filed under the name Camelus bactrianus (Bactrian camel). It matches the Rfam family "tRNA". From Rfam's summary of the family: Transfer RNA (tRNA) molecules are approximately 80 nucleotides in length. Their secondary structure includes four short double-helical elements and three loops (D, anti-codon, and T loops). The record is from Rfam by way of RNAcentral. Lineage: Eukaryota; Metazoa; Chordata; Mammalia; Artiodactyla; Camelidae. RNAcentral also lists the same sequence under 2 other names.